RNAcentral lists this ribosomal RNA (426 nucleotides) under uncultured bacterium. RNAcentral describes it as "bacterial SSU rRNA". It matches the Rfam family "Bacterial small subunit ribosomal RNA", at positions 356 to 773 of the family's 1533-position model. The record is from RNAcentral.
AGGGAAUCUUCCGCAAUGGACGAAAGUCUGACGGAGCAACGCCGCGUGAGUGAAGAAGGUCUUCGGAUCGUAAAACUCUGUUGUUAGGGAAGAACAAGUAUCGUUCGAAUAGGGCGGUACCUUGACGGUACCUAACCAGAAAGCCACGGCUAACUACGUGCCAGCAGCCGCGGUAAUACGUAGGUGGCAAGCGUUGUCCGGAAUUAUUGGGCGUAAAGCGCGCGCAGGCGGUCUUUAAAGUCGGAUGGGAAAGCCCACGGCUCAACCGUGGAGGGUCAUUGGAAACUGGAAGACUUGAGUGCAGAAGAGGAGAGUGGAAUUCCACGUGUAGCGGUGAAAUGCGUAGAGAUGUGGAGGAACACCAGUGGCGAAGGCGGCUCUCUGGGCUGUAACUGACGCUGAGGCGCGAAAGCGUGGGGAGCAAAC